This 244-nucleotide ribosomal RNA is filed under the name uncultured bacterium. RNAcentral's name for it is "partial 16S ribosomal RNA". It matches the Rfam family "Bacterial small subunit ribosomal RNA", at positions 559 to 793 of the family's 1533-position model. The record is from RNAcentral.
CGUAAAGCGCAUGCAGGUGGUUUGUUAAGUCAGAUGUAGAAACGGCCCGGGGCUACAACCGUACGGUAAUUGCUAUUUAGAAACGUGGACAAACUAGAGUACUGUAGAGGGGGUAGAAUUUCAGGUGUAGCGGUGAAAUGCGUAGAGAUCUGAAGGAAUACCGGUGGCGAAGGCGGCCCCCUGGACAGAUACUGACACUCAGAUGCGAAAGCGUGGGGAGCAAACAGGAUUAAUACCCUGGUAG